UUACGGCCUUAUCAUGUUGAAACACCAGGUUCCUGUCAAUCCCCAAAAGUUAAGCAACGUCGAGCCUGAUCAGUACCUAGAUGGGUGACUGCUUGGGAAUACCAGAUGCU
This 110-nucleotide ribosomal RNA is filed under the name Acanthosepion pharaonis. The record is from RNAcentral. Lineage: Eukaryota; Metazoa; Mollusca; Cephalopoda; Sepiida; Sepiidae.